UUCACUUUCUCUCUCCUCAAUUGAAGAGUUCUUCUUCAACUGCUCUAGACUUUCUUCAAUGGAAUCAGAGCAAAGCAAGCAAUAAAUCAAUCAUGCCUUCCACUAAUUUGCUCCUCCAAGUACCAAUUCGUAUGGCUUCAAUUCUUUUGUACGGACUUUGUUAAUGAGAUCUUUUGAGGCUCGAAACUCACAAUUUGUAUGUGACCAACUGUUCUGCGAAAGAUGUCAGUUUUCCUUCAAAACAGGCGAUGCCGGAAUUUGGGAGCCAUUCAACCCGAUGAUUUGAUUAACCAGUGACCGUUACUUGUUGGAUUCGGAAGUUUUCGCCGGAGAUGAGUUGGAAUCCGCGCUAAUGUUUCCGGCGAUGGAAAGGAUGCUUGGGUUUUCGAUGGUUUUGAAACCCUUCUCUUUAAUUUACCUUAUUAUGAGCAUGGAUAUGGAUUAGGGAUGAGCUGAAUGCUUAAUCUGUUGCUGUAAAAUAUUCUUACAGUGAUGAUCGGCAUGUCAGGCAUUGGAUGGUGCAGUGAAAGAUGAAUUUUUUCAUGAAGAGUGGAGAACUCAGAGCUCAAUGAGUGGGCGCUAUUUUCUUGACAGCCACGAGCUCUUUCUCCCGUUGCUCCCAGUUGGGAAAUAUUAUGAUAAGUCAAUUACGGUCAGAAAUCCCAGCCAGCAACCUGUCGUAGUGCAGCUUAUACUAAACUCAAUAGAAACUGUUGAUAAUUGCAAACCUGUUAUGGUCAUCAACAGACACCUUCUGCAAGUAGCUCUACCUGUAAUGAUUCCACCAGGAUGAGUAUGUGUGGGUUUUCAGUAGCAGACGGUAUAGUUACAGAGGCCUUUCUACAUCCAAAUGACACAGCAUGAUUGGGUCCUAUCUAUUUUCAUCCUUCAGAUAUAUGUGAAUGGAAGAGCUCGGCGUUCAUAAGGAGUAAUCUUUCUGGUCUGGAGAUAUUAUCUCUGCAUGGAUCGGGUGGAUUCUUUUCCUUAGUCUUGCUCGAGGGUUCAGAACAUGUGCAAAGAUUGGAUUUUACUAUGAACUAUCCUCUAAAUAUAUCCAACAAUGAGGAUGCUAUAUCUGCCUGUCGUAAGCCAUUAUUAAAGAAGGUCUUUGCUUUUAAUGCAGGUGAUUACCCUGUCAAUGUCAAGAGAAUAGAUGUCUCAGGAAGAGAAUGUGGAUUGGAUGGUUUUGUUGUACAUAAUUGCCAGGUUUUUUCUCUGAAACCUGGAGAAUCUUCGGAGCUUGGGCUAUCAUACCAACCGGAUCUUUCUGGGUCUGUGGUACAAAGGGAGCUCGAAUUGAUUCUAGAUGCUGGAAUACUUGUAAUACCAAUGCAAGAAAGUAUACCUCCAAAUUCACUUAAUGUAUGUGUAGAUUCCUUCUUUUGGUCUCCUGUAAAAUGUUGCUUGGCAAUCGGUUUUGUCAUAAUCUUACUCUCUCUCUCUUCGUUUCAAAA
Molecule: long non-coding RNA, 1454 nt
Organism: Chenopodium quinoa (quinoa)
Lineage: Eukaryota; Viridiplantae; Streptophyta; Magnoliopsida; Caryophyllales; Amaranthaceae
Exons: 4
Source: RefSeq, a predicted model, not a curated record